CCUACGGGAGGCUGCAGUGGGGAAUAUUGGACAAUGGGGGCAACCCUGAUCCAGCCAUGCCGCGUGUGUGGAGAAGGCCCGCGGGUUGUAAAGCACUUUCAGUGAGGAAGAACGCCUGGUGGUUAAUACCCAUCAGGAAAGACAUCACUCACAGAAGAAGCACCGGCUAACUCCGUGCCAGCAGCCGCGGUAAUACGGAGGGUGCGAGCGUUAAUCGGAAUUACUGGGCGUAAAGCGCGCGUAGGUGGCUUGAUAAGCCGGUUGUGAAAGCCCCGGGCUCAACCUGGGAACGGCAUCCGGAACUGUCAAGCUAGAGUGCAGGAGAGGAAGGUAGAAUUCCCGGUGUAGCGGUGAAAUGCGUAGAGAUCGGGAGGAAUACCAGUGGCGAAGGCGGCCUUCUGGACUGACACUGACACUGAGGUGCGAAAGCGUGGGUAGCAAACAGGAUUAGAUACCCGGGUAGUC
Molecule: ribosomal RNA, 465 nt
Filed under: Vreelandella stevensii
Lineage: Bacteria; Pseudomonadati; Pseudomonadota; Gammaproteobacteria; Oceanospirillales; Halomonadaceae
Description: partial 16S ribosomal RNA
Rfam family: Bacterial small subunit ribosomal RNA
Source: RNAcentral